Molecule: transfer RNA, 69 nt
Filed under: Podarcis lilfordi (Lilford's wall lizard)
Lineage: Eukaryota; Metazoa; Chordata; Lepidosauria; Squamata; Lacertidae
Description: tRNA.Ala
Rfam family: tRNA
About the family: Transfer RNA (tRNA) molecules are approximately 80 nucleotides in length. Their secondary structure includes four short double-helical elements and three loops (D, anti-codon, and T loops).
Source: RNAcentral
GCUGUAGCUCGGUGGCAGAGCAUCUGCUUUGCAUGCAGAAGGUCCCAGGUUCAAUCCCCAGCAUCUCCA